UAAGAUAUAAAUAAUUUUAUUAGGUAAUUUUUACUGAAUCUUAUUAUAUGUUGAUUAUAUGGAGCGACAUAAUCGCUAAGCGAUAAAGCUCUCUAAUAAAGAUUUAAAAAAAAAGUGAAAGUUUUAAGAAGGGGAAUCCUUUGUUGAUAAAAUAUAAAGUGUGUGGGUGUGUAAAUGAAUUAGGUAUGCAAAUAGGUAUAAUUCUUAACGCCAACCUGUAUCAUAUCUAUACUUGAAUCAUAAAUUAAAAUGUUGUAAGUUGUGUGUAAGACAUCCUGUAGCCUGUAGGUACCUAUAAUUCAAGUUUGGAAAGUAACACUAUACCUAUAACUAUCGUGUAAAACGUAUGCAAAGAUAAUAAUGAGUCAAUUUUAACCGAUUGUGAUUACCAUUUGAUUAUUCUUGCGAAAUAGCAUUGAAACACAAAAAUGCGAUCACGCGAGCCCAACCGGCUCGUGACUCGUGAAUGUGAACGCAUCCGUCGCGGUUGUUUUGUUCCGUUCACGUUUUGCUGGCCGUCGCGCGAGCGCGAACAAAACGCCACACCAUUCUGUCAAAUCGUGUCAAACGCAGCGGUACUCGGUUUCGCUGUGGCCGCAUUUAUUUAACACGAUCAAUGAUUUUGUUAUUGUUGUGACCGCACGAAAUGAAAACAUUUCAGACGUCGCGUAGUGAAAAUAGAAUCAGUGUUGUGCUAAAUUGAAAGCUUCGUGUUAAAAUUGACAUGAAUUAUCCGUUUUGGUUUUGCAAAAUAGAUCGUUUGGCAAGGUCAAGAGAAUCUGGAGUGCGUGGGAACUGAUGCGUUCUGUUGUUGUUUCUGGUGCUUUCCAGUGUUGUGUUUUUGGUUGAUAAGCGAAGUGUUCGCGAUGGGGUCUACGGGGCUCACAUUGGCAGACUUGCCAAAUAUUUUUAUUAUGAUCGGCGCGCUGGUUGCGCUGUUCGCGAUGCUUGUUAUACUCCUCAGGAACAUGGAGUUUAUCGGCAUCGUCGGUGAGGGCAGGCACCACGACGCGUGGGCGAUGCAGCCCCCCCGACUGCUCAUGCAGCGGGUGCACAUUCCCUUCACGUUCAAACUGGAGGAGAACCACUCUAUAGGCUACAGCGGCGUGAGCAGCGUCGUGUCAUCCACAGUGCGUUACUACCACGCAGCCUGGUGGGGCGCGCCAGUACGAGAGUUACACGCAACUCUGUGGGGAUCCCUACCGCAGAUCCUCGCCUCGCCGCACCUCAACUUCACCAGAAGCAACCCACAUGACGAGCGGCCUCUCCGACUCAGCUCAGAGGAGCCGCUACAGCUGGGCCCGCCGCCUCGAACCUGCUACCCUCUAGUCGUGAUCCUCGCGCGCGACCCGCGCGACACCACUGAGCUCCGGCCCGACGAUACGGUAGCGUUGGUGAGCGUGGUACACAUUCGCGAUGACCAAUGCUCGCUUCCGAGCGGCAUCAUCGCGCAAUAUCUCAAGCAAGCCAACGGGCAUCUCUCCUGUCUCAAGCAACUAUACGUGACGGGCGAGCAAUGCGACCCGUCCGAGCGGUACGCGGGCGCGGAGUCCGCGCUGUGCUGCGUGUGCGCCUCGGCGCCGCUGUCGCGCGCGCUGCUGCCGUGCCGACACGCCUGCCUGUGCGCACACUGCCUGCGUGAGUACAUACUAGACUAGUGGCUACAACUAUACGUGGCGGCGAGCAAUGCGACCCGUCCGAGCGGUACGCGGGCGCGGAGUCCGCGCUGUGCUGCGUGUGCGCCUCGGCGCCGCUGUCGCGCGCGCUGCUGCCGUGCCGACACGCCUGCCUGUGCGCACACUGCCUGCCAAAGCUAGACAAGUGCCCGAUCUGCCGCAGCGCCAUCACGUCCUAUUUCUGCAUUCGAAACGACGAAGAACCGCUGUCUGAGCUUAAGCAGCAGCGCUUCCCGUUCAACAGGCGGCUCUUCAACCUGUUCCACUACCACUAGUGGAACUGGUUACAUAAUUGGUAACAUCACGUCCUACUUUUGCAUCCGAAACGACGAGGAGCCGCUGUCCGUGCUAAAGCAGCAGCUCUUCCCCUUCAACUUGUUCCACUACCACUAGUGGACCUAGUUCCAUAACUGGUAAUAUAUUCCGGCACACCUUUAGCAACACUAAUUGAAUAAAUACUCCGAUACCACUAGUGGAACAACUAGUUCAUAACUGUUAACAUGUUCCAGCACAUUAGUAGUACUAGUUGAACAAGUUCCGAAUGUUCCGCUACCAGUAAUGGAACAACUUGUUUCAUCAGUAGUUACACGUGUGUCAGCACCAGAAGUACCAAUAGUAAAAUAAAUCCAAAACCAUUAUGGGAACUAGAUCACUAGUGACUCGUUUUUUCACCACUACUAGCAGUUCCACUAGGUAGUUAUAUGUUUGGGAACAAGUUCCACUAAUUUUAGUGAUAUGAAUACUAUCACUAGUAAUUGUAGUGACUCGAGCACUCAACUAGUUCUAUACACACUAGUGAAACAUACUAUUAAGUGUUUAAAAAAAUAGAAAACUGUUCUACAAUAAUGGAACACACUCAAAACGUUCCAUAGCCGCAUUGGAACAUAUUAUGGACUACGAAACGUGAAUGUGAUUAAAGUAUAAAAAUAGUAAUUUUAAUAUAUGCACUAUUUGAUGUUUCACUUAGAAAUUGUAGUGAACUUUAAACAUUAGCAACAGUGGAGUGAACGUUGCCAUCUGACUGAAGUGAUGUGAAUAUAACUAAGUGAUAAAUACGAUAAAUUCAGUGUUAAGUUAAUUGAUAAAUUGGCGAUAAAAUCGUAAUGUCGUCGGUCGAUGUAUUAUGAACUUUUGGUACAUUUAAACAGCAACCCUUUACCCUUAUACCCUUUAAAAAUAUUUUUACGGUUGAUUUUUCAGAGCUAAUCACGUUGUGAGAAAACAAUGUGUACUUAGAUUUUAUUUAAAGUUAUAGACUACACAUUUUUUACAUUAUGGACAUUUUUAUUAUCCUAAUUUCCUAAUAGUCGAAAAAGGGUGUCUCAAGAUUUUCAUUUCCUUUUCGUUACCAUGUUCAUAGAUUUUGGGUAACGGAAUGGAAGUAACGAAUACGGUAUGAAAAUUCAGAGACACUUUCCUAUUAGAAUCGAAAUAGCUGGUGAUAUGGAGUGGAAAUAACAUAAGUAUUCCCAAAUGUGACAUAAAGUUUAGUGUACAACUUUAAAUUAAAUGGUUCACUUAUCCCGUGUUUUCUUUACAUUUGAUGUAAUAUUUUUGUUUAGAUUGACCGUAAGUUCUCGAAUUUCUUAUAAAAUGUUCGUCUACAUAGAUCAAUAGAUAAGUUUUGCAAUAACAAAUAUGAAACAAAGAAGUAGCCUAUCACAUAUACUUUUUAAAACUAUAUUUCCAUAGACAUUGUUUGGCGUUUUUUCAUUUUAAAGUUUAAAUCUAUUUUUUAAUAAGUAGAUUUAAAAACAAAGUAAACGUUUUCCCGCCAAAUAUUAUCUAUGGAUAUAUAGUUUUAAAAAGUGAUAGGCUAUCUCUAUGUUUCAUAUUUGUCUAUUGAAAAACUUAUCUACUGACCUAUAUACUAAUAUUCUAAACAAAUCCUAUAAUCAGAUGAACAUUUUAUAAGAAACAGGUCGAUGUACUGGCAAUUAUUUAUGUUAACUGUUUAGCUUUAGAGGCUAUUGAAAUUCUCAGGGUACUCUGUGUACAUAAUGUAUUAUUUUUGUGCUGUGAAGGGCCUAUAGACAUAGAAAUUGCUUUGAAGGUAAAUUUUUAAUACACCAAUUCUGAUAUUAACACAACUGAUCCCUGAGAAUUUUAAAUAUCAGUAACUCUUUCAGCUUUUAAUUUUGUUUAGUUAGUGCUUUUAAUUUCUUAGUCAGAAUAGUUUUAAGUUAUUUUGGACGUGUGAUGUUGUUUGUUUGAAGGAAUGUUAUUUUUAUUAUUUAAAAUACAAAAAGACAAUGUUUAUUUGAGAUUGUAUGCGCUGCGUAUAUAUUUGUGUGAUAUGAAAGAAUUUAUUAUUUCAGUUUUCUUUAUAAAUAAGUUAUUUUAUUUCAAUUAUAUGACUGAGAGCCUUUCGAAAUUAUAUACUACCUAUGUAAACGUGUUAACUGGGGUAUUUGCGACUAUAGGGCAAAAACAUCUUCAAAAAAUACAAGAAAGAAAAAGUUUGACACUAUUUCAACGUGACAUGUUUCCUUAUGCCGCAGAUAAUAGAAUUUCUUGUUUCCUAGUAAGUGCAUUUGCCCCAUAGAUCCAAUUUCCCCUGUCAAUCUUAUAUUAAAAUUCAGAACAAAAUAUAAAAUAAAGAUUCAUUGCGUCAUUCAAAAUUUAAAUUACACUAUCUUCGCAUUCUAUAAAAUUAAAGUAGUUUACUUAAUAUCUUUACUACCGACCAUUAAACCCUAAAAAUAUUCUCACAAUAUUGUAGAUUUUCGAUCUCUAGUAUUUUCCUCUAUACUCAUGACGUAUAAACUUACGAUUUACGAAAAUUCCUAGUAAUUUCAUUAGCCAAUAAGACGUCUGAUAGUUGGGAAUGUUUUGGCGUUGUAUGGAUACUUGUCCUACGCUAUCCUCAAAAACGUGUGAUUUAAAACUAAAAUUGGCAGAAAUUAGCCGUAUAUUGAAACAGUUACUUUUAUCAUAUAUUUUUGUGGACGAUUUUAUACUUGUACAAUUCAUCUUUGUAAUGUAUCCUGGUAAAGUCACAUUGACUGUUGACGACCGUAUUGCUGACAAAUAAAAUCUUACAAAACUAUUGUAACCAAGGUACUUCUUCUUCGUAACUAUAUGAAACUUUACUAUAUACGUGAUCGAGAUCUGAUGAUAAAGUCAGAAGGUGGAUAGUGGAACUCUUUAGCACUCUUCAUGUUUGGGGUCAUCCAUUAGUUACAGCACACGUUAGGGGGAGAGGGGGGUCAAGAAAAUGUGACAAGGGGGAGGAGGGAGUCACAUACUUUGGGACGUCACUUUAACUUCAUCAGUAAACUAUUUUUUUUAUUCGCCGUACAGUUAAAUACCGAGUUUUUCGAACGAUAAUCGUUUUUAUUCAUUUAAUUUUCUUUCUUAAUCGGUUUUGUGUUAUAAAGUUACUAAUAUUUUUUUAUUAAAAAUAUUAACUAAUUCGAUUUGCUGAUUUCGUUGAAAACAAAAUUGCCAAAAAUGUGACGUCACAUCAGGGGUGGAGGGGUUUGCCAGAUGUGAUCAAGUGUGGCACGGAGGGGGAGAGGAGUCAAAAAACCUCGAAAAUCGCGUGACGUAAUUAAUGGAUGACCCCUUUAGGCUAAUAUGACUCAAGUGCCCACAACACAAGCCUUAUUGAGCUUACUGUGGGACUUAGACAAUUUGUGUAAUAAUGUCUUAUAAUAUUUAUUUAUUUAUUUAUAUGAUUUGUUUUGUAUUGUAACUUACACUCCAAAAGUGUUAGUUGAUAUACGUGUGUAUCAAAAAAAUCCUGUUUUGGCUGAAAAUCACGAAAUGCGAUUGGUUGUCAACGGUCAACAUAUUUGUUCACCUCAACUUUUAUGUUUCGGUUAUUAUGUACCUAACAACGUAGGUAACUAGGUGCAUAUUGCAACGCAUUUCCCCAAAUAAAUGUGUGUAUAUAUAUGUGUGAAGAGAGGCGCUGUGAUAUCGGACAGGUUCGUGUAAAUAUAGCGUGUAUGUUAGUGUUAAACACAUAAGACAGUGAAAUGCUUGUUACGUACAUUCGCCAUCAGAUAUAUCGGAUCGGCCGAGGUGUUCAAAAAUAUCUGAACACACACUAGAGGCGUGUUCAGAUAUUUGUGAGCGCCUUGGCCGCUCCGAUAUAUCUUGACGACUACACAUCUAUCGUAUACCUCUUGCUUUUAAAGGUUGACUGUUUAAAGGCGUUGUUCCAAUUUUAACUUUUUUAUGUGCAAAUUAGAGUCGGACCAAGCUAACUUUGCAUGGUAUUUGUGAAGGCAUAGUGUGGCCGUGUCAUACUGUCAAAUCUCUAAGAAAAUAUGGAGUUUAUGAUGAUACCGCCUCACUUUGUUCUAUUUAAGCUUGUAAAGACUCUGAUAGAUUUCUUUUUUUAGUUUUUUGCGUGCAUCCCUGAACAAGUAGUAUAACAUCACAUCACUUUUGGAUAUAUCUGGGUACAUUAAGAGUCCACAGCAAGCUCGGUUCUCCAUACAAACGUAGUUACGUUCUCAUUUUAAAACGAAUUAGCUAGAUUGCUCUGACACUUUGUACAGUCAGCGUCAAAUACUUCGUAGCAGUCAAAGUGGCCAAAUAGUUCGGUACACCGUACUAAAUAUAUGGUGUACCGAACUAUUUGGCUACUUUGACUGCUACGAAGUAUUUGACGCUGACUGUACUUACAAUAGGAUAAGGUACAUCUAAGACUGUAAUUAGUUUAUAUAGCCUCAGAUACAACAGUAAAAAAAAAUACAGCGAAUUUAAGUUGUCCAUACAAAACUUGUUUUGCUCUAUUUUGUUUGCUUUAUAAGCUAGUAUAUAAACUAAUUACAGGCAUAGAUAUACCUCAUGUGCAAAGUUUCAUUAUAAUCCAACACGUAGUUUUAAAAUGAGAACGAUACUCCGUUUGUAUGGGAAGGUGAAAUUGCGCCGAGCUUGCUGCGGACUCUCUUAACACAUUCACUGCCGGGAACCCACCUGGUGGGCGCUCGUGAACUUUGUUCAGAACCCGCUGGCCGGGUUGUUUUGUGCGCAGCUAUAGACCACCGGUUUCUAGGGUAGUGCGCCGUUUUUUGUCUGGCAGUGAAUGUGUUAACGUAUACACACACACAUUGAGUACGUAAAAAACGCCGUUUUGAUGAAAGUAAAUUAAAUAAUAACACUAUACUAUACGAUACGAUUAUAUAUCUUGGUAAAAUACGUAUAAAUUUUACUCACUCUAAUUUAUUUAUAGCUUAGUCCAAUCAUUUUAAUUGUAAAUUAUUUUAGUAGUCUUCCAACUAUGAACCCUAUUGUUAAUGUCGUAGAUCUCAUUAUCGCGUCACACUUGACACUUAGAUUAACUUCAAGAUCACUUUUAGGGCUGACUAUAUAUUACGUCACUGUAGACAUUUUAGAUCGAUACUUAUUAUCACAUUUGUGUAAAUUCUCAAAGAAAUUGGAUAUCAACACGUCACGUGGUAUAUAGACGGCCCCGUAGUUCAAUUUAGUGAUGUUACAUCUAGUAUGUAAUCUUUGGUCCACGUUUUAGAAUAAGUUGGAAAAAAUUAUAAGAGGCAUAACCUUGUAGGUACACUAUUUUCUGUUAAUACAUGUCACGUCAUGUUAAUUAACUAAGUCUAACCAUUUUCAUCGGAAAGUCUUGCCAAGGACGCCAACGACAGCCACAGCCGACAGUUUCGUCAAUGCAAUACGAACUUAUGCGAGACUCCCUAAAGUUCAAUUUCGCUUAAAUAAUCGCGAUCAAAUGGCAUCCGGAGCAGGACAUAUUCCUUCGCCGUCCGGCGUUCAAAAUGGGCUAUUCCGUCAUAGCGGUUAUAUAAAAGGCUCACGGUACGCUAUAGGACUUAUUAAAUUAGAUAAAAUUGAAAUCAUUUUCAGUAAGAACACAGUUGCAUUUGUUUUGUUCCGUUCCAUUUUCAAACAAAACGAAAUCAACAAUGUUUCUAAUACUGUAGCUUCAAAUUUCAGUUACAAAGUUUGAAUUUUAUUCCUUAUAUGCCUGGGCAUUAGGAGGAUAUUACAAACUGAUUGCGUGAAGCAGUUUUCGAUUCUAAUCAGAUGAUCUUUGGUACUCUGCUAAUAUUGACGACGGAAUCUGCUGAUGACGGAAGCCCCUACGGACGGGCCUUUUUUUUUUUAAAGUAUUUGUUAAAUUUGGGCCAAAGUGUUACUUAGCGACAGGAUCAGAUACGAUUUGCCGUCCACGCUCAUGAUACAGAUGUACUGCAUAAUCCUUUGCCACCGUAUUUUCUCGGAAACGUUCGUAUUUGUCAUGCUAUUUCAGUCAACCUCAGUACUUUUUGUACUAAGACUGACUAAAAUAGAAUAACACGUUCGUGCGUUUCCGUGAAAAUACGAUGGGACAAGAUUAUACACUACAUCUGUAAUAUGCGUCAAUCUGCCAAUUCCUUUAGUAUAAUAUGUACAGUUUACUUUUGGACUCCUUUAAAUCAGCUUUUUCGAGGCUCAAGACUUGCAGCGAUAAUUGUUUUGUAAUUUUAUUUUAAAGAGUGAAUUGGCAAUGCCUUUUAAUUUGGUAAUGCCACGGUGUAUGUGAUAUUUUGAAUGUGUUUAUUGAUAAUAUAGAUUCUAGUCUGUACUACUGAGUUAUAUCUGUGAAUGGUGAAUUUAAUUUGUUUAAAAAUGUGAAAUAAAGGAGUCUAAAGAAAUGUAAUUAAUCAAGAGUUUAGAUAUCGCAAAUCGGUAUUAUUAAAACGCUAGUAUUAAUACAACAUAAAGUGUAUAUUUUUAUUUAGAACAUUGUAACGAAAUUGGAAAAUAAACGUAAUUGCCAAAGUAA
RNA transcript from Cydia pomonella (codling moth), 8433 nucleotides. It is a transcript of the gene named cell growth regulator with RING finger domain protein 1-like, with no coding region annotated. The record is from RefSeq and is a predicted model, not a curated record. Lineage: Eukaryota; Metazoa; Arthropoda; Insecta; Lepidoptera; Tortricidae. The transcript has 7 exons.